GAGGACCGAACCGACUAAUGUUGAAAAAUUAGCGGAUGACCUGUGGCUGGGGGUGAAAGGCCAAUCAAACCGGGAGAUAGCUGGUUCUCCCCGAAAGCUAUUUAGGUAGCGCCUCGUGAAUUCAUCUCCGGGGGUAGAGCACUGUUUCGGCUAGGGGGCCAUCCCGGCUUACCAACCCGAUGCAAACUGCGAAUACCGGAGAAUGUUAUCACGGGAGACACACGGCGGGUGCUAACGUCCGUCGUGAAGAGGGAAACAACCCAGACCGCCAGCUAAGGUCCCAAAGUCAUGGUUAAGUGGGAAACGAUGUGGGAAGGCCCAGACAGCCAGGAUGUUGGCUUAGAAGCAGCCAUCAUUUAAAGAAAGCGUAAUAGCUCACUGGUCGAGUCGGCCUGCGCGGAAGAUGUAACGGGGCUAAACCAUGCACCGAAGCUGCGGCAGCGACACUGUGUGUUGUUGGGUAGGGGAGCGUUCUGUAAGCCUGUGAAGGUGUGUCGUGAGGC
This 503-nucleotide ribosomal RNA is filed under the name Salmonella enterica. RNAcentral describes it as "partial 23S ribosomal RNA". It matches the Rfam family "Bacterial large subunit ribosomal RNA", at positions 769 to 1269 of the family's 2925-position model. Lineage: Bacteria; Pseudomonadati; Pseudomonadota; Gammaproteobacteria; Enterobacterales; Enterobacteriaceae. The record is from RNAcentral. RNAcentral also lists the same sequence under 1 other name.